UUGCUUGCUUUUGCAGCACAGGUACUAAAAUUGGAAUGAUGCAAAGAAGAUAUUAGCAUGGCUCAAAUGCAAGGAUGACAUGCAAAUACAUGAAGUGUUUCAUAUUUUA
Molecule: small nuclear RNA, 109 nt
Organism: Chrysemys picta bellii (western painted turtle)
Lineage: Eukaryota; Metazoa; Chordata; Testudines; Emydidae
Source: Ensembl